Molecule: ribosomal RNA, 2100 nt
Filed under: Listeria monocytogenes
Lineage: Bacteria; Bacillati; Bacillota; Bacilli; Caryophanales; Listeriaceae
Description: partial 23S ribosomal RNA
Rfam family: Bacterial large subunit ribosomal RNA
Source: RNAcentral
CAAUCGAACUUGGAGAUAGCUGGUUCUCUCCGAAAUAGCUUUAGGGCUAGCCUCGAGGUAAAGAGUCAUGGAGGUAGAGCACUGUUUGGACUAGGGGCCCUUCUCGGGUUACCGAAUUCAGAUAAACUCCGAAUGCCAUGUACUUAUACUCGGGAGUCAGACUGCGAGUGAUAAGAUCCGUAGUCGAAAGGGAAACAGCCCAGACCACCAGUUAAGGUCCCCAAAUAUAUGUUAAGUGGAAAAGGAUGUGGGGUUGCUUAGACAACCAGGAUGUUGGCUUAGAAGCAGCCACCAUUGAAAGAGUGCGUAAUAGCUCACUGGUCGAGUGACCCCGCGCCGAAAAUGUACCGGGGCUAAACAUAUUACCGAAACUGUGGAUGAACCUCUUUAGAGGUUCGUGGUAGGAGAGCGUUCUAAGGGCGGUGAAGUCAGACCGGAAGGACUGGUGGAGCGCUUAGAAGUGAGAAUGCCGGUAUGAGUAGCGAAAGAAGGGUGAGAAUCCCUUCCACCGAAUAUCUAAGGUUUCCUGAGGAAGGCUCGUCCGCUCAGGGUUAGUCGGGACCUAAGCCGAGGCCGAUAGGCGUAGGCGAUGGACAACAGGUAGAGAUUCCUGUACCAGUGCUAAUUGUUUAACCGAUGGGGUGACACAGAAGGAUAGGGAAUCGCACGAAUGGAAAUGUGCGUCCAAGCAGUGAGUGUGAGAAGUAGGCAAAUCCGCUUCUCGCGAAGCAUGAGCUGUGAUGGGGAAGGAAAUUAAGUACGGAAGUUCCUGAUUUCACGCUGUCAAGAAAAGCCUCUAGGAAGAGUAGUACUGCCCGUACCGCAAACCGACACAGGUAGAUGAGGAGAGAAUCCUAAGGUGAGCGAGAGAACUCUCGUUAAGGAACUCGGCAAAAUGACCCCGUAACUUCGGGAGAAGGGGUGCUCUAUUAGGGUGCAAGCCCGAGAGAGCCGCAGUGAAUAGGCCCAGGCGACUGUUUAGCAAAAACACAGGUCUCUGCAAAACCGUAAGGUGACGUAUAGGGGCUGACGCCUGCCCGGUGCUGGAAGGUUAAGAGGAGUGCUUAGCUUCGGCGAAGGUACGAAUUGAAGCCCCAGUAAACGGCGGCCGUAACUAUAACGGUCCUAAGGUAGCGAAAUUCCUUGUCGGGUAAGUUCCGACCCGCACGAAAGGCGCAACGAUCUGGGCACUGUCUCAACGAGAGACUCGGUGAAAUUAUAGUACCUGUGAAGAUGCAGGUUACCCGCGACAGGACGGAAAGACCCCGUGGAGCUUUACUGCAACCUGAUAUGGAAUGUUUGUACCGCUUGUACAGGAUAGGUAGGAGCCGAAGAGACGUGUGCGCUAGCAUACGAGGAGGCAAUGGUGGGAUACUACCCUGGCUGUAUGACCAUUCUAACCCGCCACGCUUAGCGCGUGGGGAGACAGUGUCAGGUGGGCAGUUUGACUGGGGCGGUCGCCUCCUAAAGAGUAACGGAGGCGCCCAAAGGUUCCCUCAGAAUGGAUGGAAAUCAUUCGCAGAGUGUAAAGGCACAAGGGAGCUUGACUGCGAGACUGACAAGUCGAGCAGGGACGAAAGUCGGGCUUAGUGAUCCGGUGGUUCCGCAUGGAAGGGCCAUCGCUCAACGGAUAAAAGCUACCCCGGGGAUAACAGGCUUAUCUCCCCCAAGAGUCCACAUCGACGGGGAGGUUUGGCACCUCGAUGUCGGCUCGUCGCAUCCUGGGGCUGUAGUCGGUCCCAAGGGUUGGGCUGUUCGCCCAUUAAAGCGGCACGCGAGCUGGGUUCAGAACGUCGUGAGACAGUUCGGUCCCUAUCCGUCGCGGGCGCAGGAAAUUUGAGAGGAGCUGUCCUUAGUACGAGAGGACCGGGAUGGACACACCGCUGGUGUACCAGUUGUUCCGCCAGGAGCAUCGCUGGGUAGCUAUGUGUGGCAGGGAUAAACGCUGAAAGCAUCUAAGCGUGAAGCCCCCCUCAAGAUGAGAUUUCCCAUUUCUUCGGAAAGUAAGAUCCCUGAAAGAUGAUCAGGUAGAUAGGUUUGGAGUGGAAGUGUAGCGAUACAUGGAGCGGACAAAUACUAAUCGAUCGAGGACUUAACCAA